RNAcentral lists this ribosomal RNA (780 nucleotides) under uncultured Neocallimastigales. Its description in RNAcentral is "partial large subunit ribosomal RNA". It matches the Rfam family "Eukaryotic large subunit ribosomal RNA", at positions 22 to 640 of the family's 3401-position model. Lineage: Eukaryota; Fungi; Neocallimastigomycota; Neocallimastigomycetes; Neocallimastigales. The record is from RNAcentral.
CAUAGCGACUAUCGUGGCAUAUCAAUAAGCGGAGGAAAAGAAACUAACAAGGAUUCCCCUAGUAACGGCGAGUGAAGCGGGAAGAGCUCAAAUUUGAAAUCUUCAAGGGUUUACCUUUACGAAUUGUAGUUUAAAGAAGUGUUUUCUGUUGGAGUUUCGGUAAAAGUUCUUUGGAAUAGGACAUCAUAGAGGGUGAGAAUCCCGUAUUUGACCGUUAAUUUCAGCUGUGUGAUACACUUUCAAAGAGUCGGAUUGUUUGGGAAUGCAGUCCAAGAUGGGUGGUAAAUUUCAUCUAAAGCUAAAUACUGGCGAGAGACCGAUAGCGAACAAGUACCGUGAGGGAAAGAUGAAAAGAACUUUGAAAAGAGAGUUAAACAGUACGUGAAAUUGUCAAAAGGGAAGCGUUUGACACCAGUGUUGUUUAGCUCGAAAAUCAAUUAAAAAUGGUGGGAUGUUGUGUUGUACUGACUUUAUCCAGCUUUCUGCACUUUUUUUCCUUGUCUUUUUUAAUGCACUUUUCGUUUAACAAGUCAACAUCAAUUUCUUUUGUUGUAAAAGAGUCAUUGGAAGGUGGCUUUCCUUUUCGGAGAAAGUGUUUAUAGCCUUUGGCCUCUGCAAUCGGAGAGAUUGAGGUCUGCAGCGUAGAUCCUUCGGGGUUAGAUAGCAUUUGUGCUAAGCUAUAGCCUUUCAUAGACAACUUGUUGACUAUGAUCAGUCAUGUAGCUUACUCGCUUAUGCUAUUUUACCUACGCUUAGGAUGUUGAUAUGCAUGACUGAUAU